GACGAACGCUGGCGGCGUGCUUAACACAUGCAAGUCGAACGGAAAGGCCCUGCUUUUGUGGGGUGCUCGAGUGGCGAAAGGGUGAGUAACACGUGAGUAACCUGCCCUUGACUUUGGGAUAACUUCAGGAAACUGGGGCUAAUACCGGAUAGGAGCUCCUGCUGCAUGGUGGGGGUUGGAAAGUUUCGGCGGUUGGGGAUGGACUCGCGGCUUUUCAGCUUGUUGGUGGGGUAGGGGCUUACCAAGGCUUCGACGGGUGGCCGGCCUGGGAGGGUGACAGGACACGUGGGAACGGGAAUGAGCCACGGCCCAGAAGGGGACGGGAGGGGGGAGAGGGGAAUAGUGGGGAAGGGGCGCAAGCGUGACCCAGCCGUGCGGGGGGGGUGGCGAAGGGGUUAGGAGUGUAAAGCCCUUUUGUCCGGGACGAGAAUGACGGUACCGGAAGAAUAAGCCCCGGCUAACUUCGUG
This 468-nucleotide ribosomal RNA is filed under the name uncultured bacterium. RNAcentral's name for it is "partial 16S ribosomal RNA". It matches the Rfam family "Bacterial small subunit ribosomal RNA", at positions 28 to 507 of the family's 1533-position model. The record is from RNAcentral.